UGGCAGGCUAGAUCGGAGGGUUAGCCGUCCUCUGUAACCAUCAACCGGCUUUAGGUGGGAUUGAAGCCUGAGGAGAGGUAUGAUCUGUGGGCAGUGGUCCUGACUUGGACUGUGAUAUUCUGUCCUGUAGGAUUGAUACUUUAGGGAAUCGUGUCAGGCGGGGAACCGAGCAGCACUAACUUCUGGUAUUGAUGCUUGUAGGGUAGCGGAAUUGAGGAAAAGCUGGGGUUAACCAUUGUUCAUGUUUCAUAUCCAUCUUUGGGCGCGCCUGCCA
This 274-nucleotide signal recognition particle RNA is filed under the name Nanobdellota archaeon. Its description in RNAcentral is "signal recognition particle sRNA". It matches the Rfam family "Archaeal signal recognition particle RNA". The record is from RNAcentral. Lineage: Archaea; Nanobdellati; Nanobdellota.